Molecule: ribosomal RNA, 324 nt
Filed under: uncultured Rhogostoma
Lineage: Eukaryota; Cercozoa; Thecofilosea; Cryomonadida
Description: SSU rRNA
Rfam family: Eukaryotic small subunit ribosomal RNA (bases 104-324)
Source: RNAcentral
GAUUUCUGGAUGGCUGUGCUAGCCCGCUGGCUUUCGGGUCGGUGAGCGCCGGUACGAGUCAUUCAUCUUUGUAGGGAGCCUGGUCUGCCCUUUUUUGGGUGGGUCUGUGCGAACUACAUCAUUUACUUUGAAAAAAUUAGAGUGUUUAAAGCAGGCUUACGCUAUGAAUACAUUAGCAUGGAAUAAUAAUCUAGGACUUCGGUUCUAUUUUGUUGGUUUCUAUAACUGAAGUAAUGAUUGAUAGGGAUAGUUGGGGGUGCUAGUAUUGGCCGGCCAGAGGUGAAAUUCUUGGAUUCGGUCAAGACUAACUUAUGCGAAAGCAUU